CCUGCCAGUAGUCAUAUGCUUGUCUCAAAGAUUAAGCCAUGCAUGUCUAAGUACAAGCCUCACUAAGGUGAAACCGCGAAUGGCUCAUUAUAUCACACCUAAUCUACUGGAUAGUUAACAGUUACUUGGAUAACUGCGGUAAUUCUGGAGCUAAUACAUGCACAAAGCCCCGAACUUACGUGAGGGGCGCUUUUAUUAGAUCAAAACCAAUCGGCUUCGGCUGAACUCUUGGUGACUCUGAAUAACUUUGGGCUGAUCGCAUAGCCUAGCGCUGGCGACAUAUCCUCCGAAGGUGUGCCCUAUCAAA
Molecule: ribosomal RNA, 307 nt
Filed under: uncultured eukaryote
Lineage: Eukaryota
Description: SSU rRNA
Rfam family: Eukaryotic small subunit ribosomal RNA
Source: RNAcentral